This 449-nucleotide ribosomal RNA is filed under the name uncultured bacterium. RNAcentral's name for it is "partial 16S ribosomal RNA". It matches the Rfam family "Bacterial small subunit ribosomal RNA", at positions 354 to 796 of the family's 1533-position model. The record is from RNAcentral.
GUCGAGAAUCUUUCACAAUGGGGGCAACCCUGAUGGAGCGACGCCGCGUGGAGGAUAAGGUCUUCGGAUUGUAAACUCCUGUCAUGCGUGAACAAGGUUGCUUGGUUAAUACCUGGGCAAAUUGAUGGUAACGCAAGAGGAAGAGACGGCUAACUCUGUGCCAGCAGCCGCGGUAAUACAGAGGUCUCAAGCGUUGUUCGGAAUCACUGGGCGUAAAGGGUGCGUAGGUGGCGUGGUAAGUCAGAUGUGAAAGCACGGGGCUCAACCUCGGAACUGCAUCCGAUACUGCCAUGCUAGAGUACUGGAGAGGUGACUAGAAUUCUCGGUGUAGCAGUGAAAUGCGUAGAUAUCGAGAGGAAUACCAAAGGCGUAGGCAGGUCACUGGACAGUUACUGACACUGAGGCACGAAGGCCAGGGGAGCAAACAGGAUUAGAUACCCUGGUAGUCC